AAAAAACAAUUCUUCAACUUCUUCGAUAGAGAGAACUCGACUUCUCCGAUGGCUGAUUUUUGGGUUUAGUCAAAAUCUUCGAAGUCUCCGACAGAGAACUUGCAUCACCGCCGCCUGCAUGUCGUCCAAUCGUCCAAUCGCAUCAUCGGCGGAGAUUCUGCUUAGAUGGUUUCAUGAGAAAUUCAGAAGAUGAUUUCGACUUCUUCGACUUCUCAGAAUCCUUUCCUGAUCAAAAGGUAAUUUCGAUUCCAAAUCUAAACUUCUCUGUUUUAGAAAUGAAAUUUUCCAAUUGUAAAUUGAUUUGUGUAUAGAUUUUAUGGUUUGAUUUUCGGUGGAGAUUGAGUUUCUCCAAUGUACAUCAAAAAAGUUUAGGUUUUUUGCUGAGUUUCUACCCUCAACUUUAUCACUAUAAUAAUCAAGUAGAAACUCAUGUGGAUUUCUCUGAUAAUCAUGCUCUAAGGUCCGAGUAAUAUGUGCAUAUGGUCCAUCGUGCUCUUCCCUUUUAGGCUUUCCUCAAUGCAGUGUUAUAAUUGUCUCCAUAACAAUGAAUUUUUGUUUUUCUUAAUGUUUAUAUUGGAACAUCCAGACAUAUAGUUUAAGUUAGUUGAUAAAAAACGUUAUCUUAUCUAUUGAUUAAGGUUGUAUGUCCGCUAAAAAAAAUACAGAAGUAUAAUACACGGUCUCCUUCAUUUAUGACACUAUUCUCAAUUAGUUAAACCAUAGAACUUAAAUCACAGAAUAGAUAGUAUUAGACCUUUAAAUUUAUUGAAAAGAACAAAUAACAAUAGUAGGGAUCGUGUUAUAACAGCUUUUCUCUAAACAUAAAAUCCCAUUCCAAAUAAAAUUAGCUAUGAGAAAAACAAUUAUAGUUAGCUAGAAAAGAUCGAGUUCAUUGCUAUUGAAUCCUUGGAAGAAAAGUAUUUGAAACCACAUGUAUAUCAGUAUAUACAUAUAUCUAUGUAUGACAUGUCAUAUUCUCUUCAUUGACAACUUUCUCCACUCUCUUUUUAUUGCUUUAAAUUAUUAGUAGUUUUUUAUGGCCAUAUUGUUCUUUCACCACUUUAUAGAAACACUGGUCUCUCAAUUAAACAAAUGUGGUUGUUAUAAUAUCAUCACGUUUUUGCAGUGUUCAACACAGUUUUCAGUGAUCUACAGUAAAUUAGGUCCAAUGCAUAGCGUUUAAAAUAUGCAAUUAGUCCAACCAUUCACACUUUUAAGAGAAACACUAGCAAUAAUUAGCAUAGACAUUAGUCCAUCCUUACCAUGAUUGAAGGAAAAGACAAUUAAUAAGCAUCCACGAUUCAAACCAAAUACAUUCUAUGUUUUUUUCUUCUAUGUAUUGAGUUCUUUGUACCACGAUAUAUAUUCCAUCUUAUUUUGGGACCAUGCAAAGAAUGUUUAAUACAAUGCAUGAAUGUGUCACUUUCAUCUAAAUUCCAAAAUCAAUGUCAAAGACUCGAUGUAUUUACUAGCUAUAUUUUCUGCGGGGACAAAGACAUGUUACUUUAUACAUUACAUAAAACAUACUGAAUGUUUCAAUUUCGUUUUCAGGAGAAAAUAGCAGGAUUUAAGAUCGGAUUUAUUUCCUUCCAAAUCAAAAUGACACCAUAAAACUGGAAAUGAUAUGCUCUUGAAGCAAUAUUUGUUAUCACUUCUGUGUUACACAUUUACCUCUACAUACUUAAUGUAUUGGUAUAUCUACAACAGCACGAGUGAAAUCGAAGUAACAUUUUUUUAUUUCAAGUUUUUCGGUUUUUUUUUUUUCAAAUUAUAGUUUAAUUUUACAAAAACUAUAGAAACAAAAAAAAUGAUGCAACUCCCUUGUAAGAUUUCCAGCUGCAACUUCCCAUAAAACAAAUCGAUCGCUUUAACCGGUAAGACAACACGGAAUAUUAGGCUUUGAGUCGUCUUGCUUCUCUACUCAUAGCGGGAAUUCUUUUUGCAGGAGAUCGAGAUUCCUUGACUCACACGCUUCAAUCAGGUCUUGCCUUGAGGCACAACUGCAGAAAGUUAACAAAAGUAGAAAAAACAUUCAACGACAUUGAUGAUAGUUAAUGGAUUUUUCUUGUUCACAAGCUUUAUAGAUACCUUAACGAGAGCCUCAAGUACUGCCAUGCGUUAUCGGCCUUAGGAUUCAUCGCAAGGGCACGAACAUAGUAAGGGAUCG
RNAcentral lists this long non-coding RNA (2167 nucleotides) under Eutrema salsugineum. Its description in RNAcentral is "long non-coding RNA (ESAL_LNC001162)". Lineage: Eukaryota; Viridiplantae; Streptophyta; Magnoliopsida; Brassicales; Brassicaceae. The record is from RNAcentral.